GGCCUCCUAAUGAUUACCACGGGCUGUAUUCUUUACACUGACUGUAUAGAAAGAGGAGGUAAGUAAAUGCUCUCCAUAUACACCUCAUAUACAGCCCUUUGCCUGGUCUGUAUUGUGAACGGGGGGACAAAA
Molecule: small nucleolar RNA, 132 nt
Organism: Suncus etruscus (white-toothed pygmy shrew)
Lineage: Eukaryota; Metazoa; Chordata; Mammalia; Eulipotyphla; Soricidae
Product: small nucleolar RNA SNORA51
Exons: 1
Source: RefSeq, a predicted model, not a curated record